GAUGAACGCUGGCGGCGUGCCUAAUACAUGCAAGUCGAGCGAACGGACGAGAAGCUUGCUUCUCUGAUGUUAGCGGCGGACGGGUGAGUAACACGUGGAUAACCUACCUAUAAGACUGGGAUAACUUCGGGAAACCGGAGCUAAUACCGGAUAAUAUUUUGAACCGCAUGGUUCAAAAGUGAAAGACGGUCUUGCUGUCACUUAUAGAUGGAUCCGCGCUGCAUUAGCUAGUUGGUAAGGUAACGGCUUACCAAGGCAACGAUGCAUAGCCGACCUGAGAGGGUGAUCGGCCACACUGGAACUGAGACACGGUCCAGACUCCUACGGGAGGCAGCAGUAGGGAAUCUUCCGCAAUGGGCGAAAGCAUGACGGAGCAACGCCGCGGGAGUGAUGAAGGUCUUCGGAUCGUAAAACUCUGUUAUUAGGGAAGAACAUAUGGUAAGUAACUGUGCACAUCUUGACGGUACCUAAUCAGAAAGCCACGGCUAACUACGUG
RNAcentral lists this ribosomal RNA (496 nucleotides) under uncultured bacterium. RNAcentral's name for it is "partial 16S ribosomal RNA". It matches the Rfam family "Bacterial small subunit ribosomal RNA", at positions 28 to 507 of the family's 1533-position model. The record is from RNAcentral.